RNAcentral lists this long non-coding RNA (402 nucleotides) under Vombatus ursinus (common wombat). RNAcentral describes it as "lncRNA (ENSVURG00010007159.1)". The record is from RNAcentral. Lineage: Eukaryota; Metazoa; Chordata; Mammalia; Diprotodontia; Vombatidae.
CAGAGACCGAGACAGCUGGAGGAAGCUGCGUGGCCAAGGGCCAGCCCAGACUCCGGUUCUGCAGGAAAGUGAAGGGAGAACUCUGAGAGAAGUCUUCCAGCCCGUGUCCUGACCCGGUCAGAGCCAGGAGAGAGCAGAUCUUGGAGCUGCCUGUGGGCCAGUGGUCCCUGAUUCUCCCGCCCCUGGGGAAAGUGAGAGCAUCAAGAAGAUGUCGGGGAGGAAGGCGCCCAAGGAGAAAGCUCCACCUUCUGGAGACCAGAACAUGAAGGAGGAUCAUAAGAGAAGAGGUCACAAGAGAAGAGCAGCUGCUGCAGUCCGCUUGGCCAGAAUUCAGGUGAGUGGGGCUCAUUUUCCCUCCUGGCGUUCCCAGGCAUCAUUCGGGGAAUGGGCUUCUCGCUCUCC